RNAcentral lists this ribosomal RNA (468 nucleotides) under uncultured bacterium. RNAcentral describes it as "partial 16S ribosomal RNA". It matches the Rfam family "Bacterial small subunit ribosomal RNA", at positions 28 to 507 of the family's 1533-position model. The record is from RNAcentral.
GACGAACGCUGGCGGCGUGCUUAACACAUGCAAGUCGAACGGAAAGGCCCUGCCUUUGUGGGGUGCUCGAGUGGCGAACGGGUGAGUAACACGUGAGUAACCUGCCCUUGACUUUGGGAUAACUUCAGGCAACUGGGGCUCAUACCGGAUAGGAGCUCCUGCUGCAUGGUGGGGGUUGGAAAGUUUCGGCGGUUGGGGAUGGACUCGCGGCUUAUCAGCUUGUUGGUGGGGUAGUGGCUUACCAAGGCUUUGACGGGUAGCCGGCCUGGGAGGGUGACCGGCCACAGUGCAACGGGGAUACGGCCCAGACUCCUACGGGAGGCAGCGGUGGGGAGGAUAACACAAUGGGCGGGAGCCUGAUGUAGCAACGCCGCGUGGGGGAUGACGGCCUUCGGGUUGUAAACCGCUGUCGCCUGAGACGAAGCGUUAAUGACGGUAACGGGUGAAGAAGCACCGGCUAACUACGUG